Molecule: ribosomal RNA, 254 nt
Filed under: uncultured bacterium
Lineage: Bacteria
Description: partial 16S ribosomal RNA
Rfam family: Bacterial small subunit ribosomal RNA
Source: RNAcentral
UACGGAGGGUGCGAGCGUUGUCCGGAAUCAUUGGGCGUAAAGGGCGCGUAGGUGGCCCGGUGAGUCUUUGGUGAAAGCGCGGGGCUCAACCCUGCGUCGGCCAGGGAUACUGCCGCGGCUCGAGCACUGUAGAGGCAGGCGGAAUUCCGGGUGUAGCGGUGGAAUGCGUAGAGAUCCGGAAGAACACCGGUGGCGAAGGCGGCCUGCUGGGCUAUGGCUGACACUGAGGCGCGACAGCGUGGGGAGCAAACAGG